GCUUCCGUAACAUUGGAUAUAUGACAUACUUGUACUGAUUGAGAUUUUAACACGAAGUGAGUGGCGAACGGGUGAGUAACACGUGGGUAACCUGCCCAGAAGUAGGGGAUAACACCUGGAAACAGAUGCUAAUACCGUAUAACAGAGAAAACCGCAUGGUUUUCUUUUAAAAGAUGGCUCUGCUAUCACUUCUGGAUGGACCCGCGGCGUAUUAGCUAGUUGGUGAGGUAAAGGCUCACCAAGGCAGUGAUACGUAGCCGACCUGAGAGGGUAAUCGGCCACAUUGGGACUGAGACACGGCCCAGACUCCUACGGGAGGCAGCAGUAGGGAAUCUUCCACAAUGGACGCAAGUCUGAUGGAGCAACGCCGCGUGAGUGAAGAAGGGUUUCGGCUCGUAAAGCUCUGUUGUUAAAGAAGAACGUGGGUAAGAGUAACUGUUUACCCAGUGACGGUAUUUAACCAGAAAGCCACGGCUAACUACGUGCCAGCAGCCGCGGUAAUACGUAGGUGGCAAGCGUUAUCCGGAUUUAUUGGGCGUAAAGCGAGCGCAGGCGGUCUUUUAAGUCUAAUGUGAAAGCCUUCGGCUCAACCGAAGAAGUGCAUUGGAAACUGGGAGACUUGAGUGCAGAAGAGGACAGUGGAACUCCAUGUGUAGCGGUGAAAUGCGUAGAUAUAUGGAAGAACACCAGUGGCGAAGGCGGCUGUCUGGUCUGCAACUGACGCUGAGGCUCGAAAGCAUGGGUAGCGAACAGGAUUAGAUACCCUGGUAGUCCAUGCCGUAAACGAUGAUUACUAAGGUGUUGGAGGGUUUCCGCCCUUCAGUGCUGCAUCUAACGCAUUAAGUAAUCCGCCUGGGGAGUACGACCACAAGGUUGAAACUCAAAGGAUUGACGGGGGCCCGCACAGCCGGUGGAGCAUGUGGUUAAUUCGAAGCUACCCCGAAAACCUUA
RNAcentral lists this ribosomal RNA (951 nucleotides) under Pediococcus pentosaceus. Its description in RNAcentral is "bacterial SSU rRNA". It matches the Rfam family "Bacterial small subunit ribosomal RNA", at positions 42 to 973 of the family's 1533-position model. Lineage: Bacteria; Bacillati; Bacillota; Bacilli; Lactobacillales; Lactobacillaceae. The record is from RNAcentral.